RNAcentral lists this long non-coding RNA (1146 nucleotides) under Danio rerio (zebrafish). Its description in RNAcentral is "lncRNA (ENSDARG00000117373.1)". Lineage: Eukaryota; Metazoa; Chordata; Actinopteri; Cypriniformes; Danionidae. The record is from RNAcentral.
CAGUUUCCUUCAGCUUAGUCCCUUUAUUCAUCAGGGGUCACCACAGCGAAAUGAACCGACAACUUAUCCAGCAUGUGUUUUACACAGCGAAUGCCAUUCCAGCUGCAACCCAGAACUGGGAAACACCCAUACUCAUUUAAACACACACAUACACACACACACACACACACACUCAAACACUAUGGCCAGUGUAGUUGAUCAGUUCCCCUAUAGCGCAUGUGUUUGGACUGUGGGGGAAACCGGAGCACCCGGAGGAAACCCACACCAACACGGGGAGAACAUGCAAACUCCACACAGGAACACCAACUGACCCAGCCGAGACUCAAACCAGCAACCUUCUCUCUUGAUUUAUGUUUAUAUACAACAUAUCAUUAUAAUGCAUAGUCCUAAACCUGUUUUAAAAGUUUAUGUUUAUUCAGGGUUCAGUGUUGAGUAGACUGUAUUAUUUAGACGUGUAUGCUGUGUAAAUGCAGUAAAUGUAAAUCAGUGUGUUCUUCUCUGCAGUGUGUAUCAGGUGGUGGUGGAGGAAGAGCGCCCUCGUCGGGCUCGUGGUGGUGAAGCGGAGAUCCUGCGCUGUUUCCCGGUGCCGGUUCACUAUCAGAACGCCAGCAGUCUGAGCUCUCGCUAUUACUACAGCGCAGAAUUCCCAUCCGCCGGCGUCCCGUCAGCGCAACCCUUCACCAUCGGGGACAACCGAACAUACAGCGGCUACUGGAACCCUCCGCUACUGCCGCACAAGAGCUACAGCGUCUACUAUCAGGCGGUCAGCACCGCCAACGGGGAGACGAAAAUCGACUGUGUUCGAGUGGCCACCAAAGCUGCUAUCUUGGUCACUCAACUCACCACUCCUUACGUUCGCAUCGCUCCGGCCGCUGGAGACAACCAGCUAACAGGAGCGGCGACACACAAGCCCAGCGCGGUGGAGCCGGAGAAACAGACGGACCACACGGUGAAGAUCGCCGGAGUCAUCGCAGGAAUAUUACUCUUCGUCAUCAUCUUCCUCGGCGUGGUGCUGCUCAUGAAGAAACGGAGAACCUAUCAGUCCUACACUUAUUACCUGUAAGUAGACCAGCUCUGUUGAUGUUGUGCUGCAUGUGUGUGUGUCUGUGUGUAAGUGUGUGUGUUUCUGCUGCCCGUUUACCAUCU